AUGUGGGUGCAGGAGUGGAAGCCGGUGAUGGGAAUGCUGGCCUUCGACCUCAUCUCUGCUGUGAUGACGGCGCUGGUGAAGAAGGCUCUGGAGCAAGGGCUGAACCGCCUGGUCCUCGUCACCCUCCGGCAGCUGGUCGCCACCAUCUUCCUUGCUCCAAUAGCCUUUUUCAAAGAACGGAACACGAGGCCCAAGCUCACAUUGGAGAUCCUGGUGUACCUCUUCUUCAGCGCCGUGUUUGGCGCGGCGCUCUCGCAGUACACCUUCUUCUAUGGCCUGCAGUACACCACCGCCACCUUUGCUAUAACCUUCAUCAACCUCUCUCCUGUGCUCACCUUCCUCAUCGCCGUCGUGAUGAGGAUGGAGCCGCUGAAGUUGAAGAGCAUGGCGGGAGCUGCGAAGAUCACCGGAACGCUCACGUCGCUGGCCGGCUUGCUGCUGCUGAGUCUCUACAAGGGUGUGCCGCUGACGCACCAGGCCGCCACUUCUGCACCUAGCCCAGCUGCUCACCAUGCAGCACCCUCUGACAGCAGUGGCAACAGGAGCUGGAUGCUGGGCACCAUCGCGUUGCUGUUCAACUGCCUGUGCUUCUCCUUCUGGCUGCUACUGCAGACAAAGCUGACCAAGAAGUACCCGGUCAUCUACUCGAAUACUGCCAUCAUGUUCUUCAUCAGCACUCUGCAGGGCGGGGCGGUCACCUUGGCGAUGGAGAGACACGUGUCGCUCUGGAUGCUGACCAGCAAGCUGGAGAUCGUUACCGUCUUGUAUGCAGGGAUAGUCGGAUCUGGAGCCGGGUACCUGAUAAUGACGUGGUGCGUGGAGAAGAAGGGCCCGGUCUUCACCGCAGCCUUCAUCCCCAUGAUGCAGAUUAUGGUAGCCAUCAUUGAUUUCUUCUUCCUCCAUGAACAAAUCUACCUUGGAAGCGUGCUAGGAUCUGUACUGAUGAUACUGGGGCUCUAUCUUUUGCUGUGGGGAAAGAAGAGGGAUGAAGCAUCUGUAUCUUGUACCACUACCACUGACAAGCAAGUCGACGAACCAGCUGACGACAAGCCGUGA
This 1056-nucleotide ribosomal RNA is filed under the name Triticum aestivum (bread wheat). RNAcentral's name for it is "partial small subunit ribosomal RNA". Lineage: Eukaryota; Viridiplantae; Streptophyta; Magnoliopsida; Poales; Poaceae. The record is from RNAcentral.